RNAcentral lists this long non-coding RNA (512 nucleotides) under Equus asinus (donkey). Its description in RNAcentral is "lncRNA (ENSEASG00005037858.1)". The record is from RNAcentral. Lineage: Eukaryota; Metazoa; Chordata; Mammalia; Perissodactyla; Equidae.
UCACCAAUGUGCUGCCUCCGUGCCAGGUUCUACAUAUAUGCAUGUGUAUAUCCUUCUCUAAUUCCUAAGAUAAGCCCUGUAGGAGAGGCCUGAUCACAGCCUGCCCCCCACCAAGUUUACAGGCGGAACUGGUGCUCUUGGGAGAAAUGCUGAGUUCAGAAUCAAGUCCUGGUAAAUCUAACGCCGUCAAGUUGCAGUGAGCCAAAAACGAGACACAAGGUGAAGGUGAAUGAUGUUUCAUUGGCGCUUACGUUAAGCUUCCACUCCAUCUUCAUGUCUCUGGAAGGGCACGCAAGACACAGCCACAGCCGCUGCCUCUGGGGCGGGGAUUGGGCGCUGCGAGUUAGAACUGGGAAGAGCACUUUCUUACCACAUACCUUUAGCCUUGUGUGAAUUUUAACCACGUGCAACUGCUGUGUUUUCAAACAAUAAGAGCUACCAACAGAACAACACCACAGAUUUCUCUCCAGCAAACAGUUUGGGGGCAAUUAAGAGAACUAUCUUACCCAAAG